AGACGCUGUCUCAAAAAAAAAAAAAAAAAAGAUUUUCUGAAAUGAUGUCUGCAGUUCCCUUAGCGCAUCACACAGCCUAUGCUUACUAUUAUGCUAAUAAUGGACAUUUAUGUCACCAACCCUGGGGGAUCUGAGGCAUCCUGUGUCCAGGGCUGGACUGAUUUUCAGAGUCAGUCUGGGCCAUGUGGGUCAUAUGAGACUUUGGAGCCCCAGGCAGAGGCAGCAAAGCCCAAUCUGCUGCCUUCAAGAUGCGUCCUUGGGCCCAGAGGUGGCAGAUUACGGGUCCCCUGAACCAGGACUGAGCUCCUUGAUCACAGCAUCCUGGUCUCAUGGGGUCCUUCCCAAAGCUCUGUGUUGAUGACAAGGACCAAGAGGGUUGAUUUUGCUUUUGGCAACUCCAAAGAAGUAAAACAAACCCACGAUGUAGAAGAGAGAAAAUCAGACAUCACCGAUUGAUUGUGACACCGCGUAACCUCAGAAACACACACCGGAAAAACAGGACUUGGGGAUAUUCUUCAAUUCCAACUGGAGAAGAUUCCCAACGAUGGGAAGUGGGAAAGGUCCCGGCGGCAGGUUCCAGCUGCUGUGGACCUGCUUCCAGAUGGACACCAGCAGGAGGACAGCCACCCAGCACAGCAGGGCCACCGUGAUGCCCAGGACAGCCAUGGUGCCUCUGGCGUCCCGCUGCCGACGUGAGAGUACAGUCCUGUGGCAAGGCCGAACUUUUAUAACGCAUCCUUGAGAAGGAGGGUGACCCAGCAACCAAUGCCACCUUCCUUCUCCGCUGGCCCAAGUUAUUAGUUUAUUAUUACCUGCUGUUGGCCAUCUCUUCAAAGUCUGAUCCUGUCGCUGUUGCCUCCUAGAAGUGCAUCCAAUGACCUUGGGGAGGAUGGAGCUGGGCUCUGGCAACACCAGCUGCUGACACCAGUCACCUUGUGGAUAAACAUGUCCAGGAACAUGUCACCAACCCAAAGGUCAGAAAGUGGGAUGCAAAAGCUCUUACCAUCUGAUGAGGAGGUUUGUCUGAGCGGCCCCAAUGGUACCUGAACCACCACUUGCCAAAUUAAUGGGGCCAAAAGGAAAAUUCAACAUCUGAAUCCUGUUCCACUUUGUCACAUUAACUGGCAAAUUCAGGGGAAGAAAACGAAAGGAAAGAAAGAGUUGAACAAUUUUGAGAAAAUUAUUUCUGAUUAUAAAGAAGGCAUAUUUUUAUUGUAGUGGUUAAAUAAAGUGACAUAUUCAAUACA
This is a long non-coding RNA of Lemur catta (Ring-tailed lemur), 1247 nucleotides long. RefSeq lists it as uncharacterized. The transcript has 2 exons. The record is from RefSeq and is a predicted model, not a curated record. Lineage: Eukaryota; Metazoa; Chordata; Mammalia; Primates; Lemuridae.